This 84-nucleotide transfer RNA is filed under the name Helicobacter apodemus. RNAcentral's name for it is "tRNA-Leu". It matches the Rfam family "tRNA". Rfam says of the family: Transfer RNA (tRNA) molecules are approximately 80 nucleotides in length. The record is from RNAcentral. Lineage: Bacteria; Pseudomonadati; Campylobacterota; Epsilonproteobacteria; Campylobacterales; Helicobacteraceae.
GCGCUGGUGGUGGAAUGGUAGACACACCAUCUUGAGGGGGUGGCGGGGAGACCCGUGCGAGUUCAAGUCUCGCCCAGCGCACCA